UACGUAUGGUGCAAGCGUUAUCCGGAUUUACUGGGUGUAAAGGGAGCGCAGGCGGUGUGGCAAGUCUGAUGUGAAAGCCCGGGGCUCAACCCCGGUACUGCAUUGGAAACUGUCGUACUAGAGUGUCGGAGGGGUAAGCGGAAUUCCUAGUGUAGCGGUGAAAUGCGUAGAUAUUAGGAGGAACACCAGUGGCGAAGGCGGCUUACUGGACGAUAACUGACGCUGAGGCUCGAAAGCGUGGGGAGCAAACAGG
RNAcentral lists this ribosomal RNA (253 nucleotides) under Roseburia faecis M72/1. RNAcentral describes it as "partial 16S ribosomal RNA". It matches the Rfam family "Bacterial small subunit ribosomal RNA", at positions 524 to 776 of the family's 1533-position model. The record is from RNAcentral. Lineage: Bacteria; Bacillati; Bacillota; Clostridia; Lachnospirales; Lachnospiraceae.